This 477-nucleotide ribosomal RNA is filed under the name uncultured anaerobic ammonium-oxidizing bacterium. Its description in RNAcentral is "bacterial SSU rRNA". It matches the Rfam family "Bacterial small subunit ribosomal RNA", at positions 365 to 832 of the family's 1533-position model. The record is from RNAcentral.
UUCGCAAUGCCCGAAAGGGUGACGAAGCGACGCCGCGUGUGGGAAGAAGGCCUUCGGGUUGUAAACCACUGUCGGGAGUUAGGAAAUGCAGGUGCGUUAAUAGCGCACUUGCUUGACUAAGGCUCCAGAGGAAGCCACGGCUAACUCUGUGCCAGCAGCCGCGGUAAUACAGAGGCGGCAAGCGUUGUUCGGAAUUAUUGGGCGUAAAGAGCACGUAGGCGGCCUUGCAAGUCAGUUGUGAAAGCCUUCCGCUUAACGGAAGAACGGCAUCUGAUACUACAGGGCUUGAGUACGGGAGGGGAGAGUGGAACUUCUGGUGGAGCGGUGAAAUGCGUAGAUAUCAGAAGGAACGCCGGCGGCGAAAGCGACUCUCUGGUCCGAAACUGACGCUGAGUGUGCGAAAGCUAGGGGAGCAAACGGGAUUAGAUACCCCGGUAUCCCUAGCCGUAAACGAUGGGCACUAAGUAGAGGGGUUUU